AGUUUGCAAGUCUGAUUUUAUCAAACACUGGCACUCAACAUUCCAUAUAUCAUCUGCCUAAUAUUCUUGAGUGAGACAGAGGAGACCGGAAUUUCACGUGUAGGGGUGAAAUCCGGAGAUCUACAAAGGAACGCCAAAAGUGAAGGCAACUCUCGAGAUCCCUAUCGAUGCUGGAGUGCGAAAGCAUGACGAGCGAACAUGAUUAGAUACCAUGAUAGUCCAUAUGCCAUAAACGAUGAAUGUUGACCCUUAAUCUACACGGAUCAGACAGCAAUUGCGGCAGCUACUC
This 289-nucleotide non-coding RNA is filed under the name Amborella trichopoda. RNAcentral's name for it is "Bacterial small subunit ribosomal RNA". It matches the Rfam family "Bacterial small subunit ribosomal RNA", at positions 566 to 869 of the family's 1533-position model. Lineage: Eukaryota; Viridiplantae; Streptophyta; Magnoliopsida; Amborellales; Amborellaceae. The record is from Rfam by way of RNAcentral.